This 72-nucleotide transfer RNA is filed under the name Manoao colensoi. RNAcentral describes it as "tRNA-Val". It matches the Rfam family "tRNA". Rfam says of the family: Transfer RNA (tRNA) molecules are approximately 80 nucleotides in length. Their secondary structure includes four short double-helical elements and three loops (D, anti-codon, and T loops). The record is from RNAcentral. RNAcentral also lists the same sequence under 1 other name. Lineage: Eukaryota; Viridiplantae; Streptophyta; Pinopsida; Araucariales; Podocarpaceae.
AGGGAUAUAACUCAGUGGUAGAGUUUCACCUUGACGUGGUGAUGGUCAUCGGUUCGAGCCCGAUUAUCCCUA